Molecule: ribosomal RNA, 496 nt
Filed under: uncultured bacterium
Lineage: Bacteria
Description: bacterial SSU rRNA
Rfam family: Bacterial small subunit ribosomal RNA
Source: RNAcentral
GAGUUUGAUCAUGGCUCAGGAUGAACGCUAGCGGAGGCCUAACACAUGCAAGCCGAGCGGUAUUGUUUCUUCGGAAAUGAGAGAGCGGCGUACGGGUGCGGAACACGUGUGUAACCUGCCUUUAUCUGGGGGAUAGCCUUUCGAAAGGAAGAUUAAUACUCCAUAAUAUAUUGAACGGCAUCGUUUAAUAUUGAAAGCUCCGGCGGAUAGAGAUGGGCACGCGCAAGAUUAGCUAGUUGGUGAGGUAACGGCUCACCAAGGCGAUGAUCUUUAGGGGCCUGAGAGGGUGAUCCCCCACACUGGUACUGAGACACGGACCAGACUCCUACGGGAGGCAGCAGUGAGGAAUAUUGGUCAAUGGGUGCAAGCCUGAACCAGCCAUCCCGCGUGAAGGACGACUGCCCUAUGGGUUGUACACUUCUUUUGUAUAGGGAUAAACCUACCCUCGUGAGGGUAGCUGAAGGUACUAUACGAAUAAGCACCGGCUAACUCCGUG